CACCGGCAGCCCAAGUGGUAGCCACGUUUAUUGGGUCUAAAGCGUUCGUAGCCGGCUUGGUAAGUUCCUUGGUAAAUUUAGCCGCUUAACGGUUAAGCUUUCAGGGAAUACUGCUUGGCUUGGGACUGGGAGAGGUCAGAGGUACUCCAGGGGUAGGGGUGAAAUCCAUUAAUCCUUGGGGGACCACCGGUAGCGAAGGCGUCUGACCAGACCAGCUCCGACGGUGAGGGACGAAGGCUAGGGGCGCGAACCGG
Molecule: ribosomal RNA, 254 nt
Filed under: uncultured archaeon
Lineage: Archaea
Description: partial 16S ribosomal RNA
Rfam family: Archaeal small subunit ribosomal RNA
Source: RNAcentral